CGCAAUAUAUAGCUUCACCGCACUACUUAGAUCCAAAGUUUCUAUGAGUCACCAGAUCAAGUCACACUGUCACACAAGCGGGCGGAGGCACCAUCUCUGAGCGUAGAAGGCGGCAAAGCCACCAAAUCUGAACGCACAAAGCGGCGGAGCUGCCAGAUCUUGGCACAUAAGACGGUACAACAGCAUAAACGGCCAAUGAGAGCAUCACCACCUUAGAAUCACGUAGACGAAAAUGGAUCCAGCUCUCCAACAGCUACAAAUCCAACUCUCAUUCUCACACACACUCUCUCUCUUUCAUUUCUCCCUCACUUUGCAGUCUCUUUCCCUCAAACUCUCCUCCCUCUACUCUCUAACUCUCUAUUCUCUAUGAAAACACAGAGAAAACCCGCAGAAACCACCACCACUCCUCGUUUCUUUGUCCUUCCCAAAACCCAAAAACAAAUACUACGAGUUUGAAACCAAGCCCGAGGCGUUACACCGCACAGUGGCUACUGCCACUGUUCAGUGUCUUCCCCAACGAAAUCUGGGCGAGUUCUCGAUGACUCCGACUAAGAUCGACUUAAGGGAGAACCCUCCCCAGUUUUCCGGUGUUUCACCAUGCAUUCCAAGCCAUUUUCAGGUCGUCUCCGGCCACUAGUCGACCCUAUUUUGUUACUUCUCCUCAUUCCUAGCUUUAAAUCCAUAUAUUGCAUGUUAAAUAUAGUUGUGAAUCGACCUUGGGACGAGUUUCGGAAAUCUGCCCCGAAAGUGGCUGAUUCACACAGGCCUCUCCAAGCGAGUGUGCCUUUCGUUCUAACUUAAAUGCUACAAGUAGAAUCUGUAUUAGGAAAACUUAACUUUCAAGUUGCAUAUGUAAUUCAUAAGUGAUUUGUAAAUUA
Molecule: long non-coding RNA, 878 nt
Organism: Pyrus x bretschneideri (Chinese white pear)
Lineage: Eukaryota; Viridiplantae; Streptophyta; Magnoliopsida; Rosales; Rosaceae
Exons: 2
Source: RefSeq, a predicted model, not a curated record